AUGAAGGUCAAGCGUUUGCUCCCCGACCAACGUGACAGCACAAACUUUUAUGCCAUGUUCCGAGAAAUCGCCGCUGCGCACAUCUCACGCACCGCCACCGGCCUUACAUUUCCCCUGGCACACGUCGUCCCUGAGCAGCACGCCGGCCCUAACUUGGACGGCGCCGCCCUGGAGCUGGAGAUGUCUCCGCAGAGGCGCUACGAGCUGUGUGCCGACUAUGACGCGGAGAUCGACGAAAGCCUCCGAAGGAUGGAAUCGGAGGACGCCGGAGAGCGGCCCUGCCCCGACUACCUCACCAAGCACGGUCAGAUGGACAACUACAAGCGCGCCCUGCUCGUCAGAUGGAUGUAUUUCUUCACCCAACGCUACAACCUCGCCGACGGCACGCUCCACCGCGCCGUCGCCUACGUCGACCGGUUCCUAUCGCCUCCCCCCCUGAUGAUUACUGACGACUACGAGCUCCGCCUCCUCGGCGCCGUCGCCGACGAGGUGGUGGCCAUGGAGACCAAGGUUGUCGCGGCGCUCGACUACAGGAUGGGAGGCCCCACCGCGCACACCUUCGUCGACCACUUCACCCGGAGCGGCGGCGAGGACCCCCGUGACGACAUCGUCAAGUCCCUGGCGCACCACUUGGCGGACCUCACGUUGCUCGACUGCCGCCACCUGCAGUUCCUGCCGUCCACCGUCAUGGCAUCGGCGGUCUUCGUCGCAUGA
RNAcentral lists this ribosomal RNA (714 nucleotides) under Triticum aestivum (bread wheat). RNAcentral describes it as "partial small subunit ribosomal RNA". Lineage: Eukaryota; Viridiplantae; Streptophyta; Magnoliopsida; Poales; Poaceae. The record is from RNAcentral.